CGUCUUGCGAUGAUUGAAGAUCAUUGGUGGUUGGUAGAACCACAGGUCCUCUCCAGAAUGCAUUGAAAUCUGGAAUUUGUAGCAUGAUUUCUAUUUCUUUUAGUUUUCUCAAAAUGAAAUUUAGAGGUAAUCCCACAUUAAAAAAUUGAUGGUAUCCGUGAAGAACCUUUGCGAGAGCACGUAGCUUCCUCGCGUGGUCAUCGGAAUACCCUGUCUUCUCUUUUAACCAUG
Molecule: long non-coding RNA, 231 nt
Filed under: Mytilus galloprovincialis (Mediterranean mussel)
Lineage: Eukaryota; Metazoa; Mollusca; Bivalvia; Mytilida; Mytilidae
Source: RNAcentral